Molecule: non-coding RNA, 72 nt
Organism: Nicotiana attenuata
Lineage: Eukaryota; Viridiplantae; Streptophyta; Magnoliopsida; Solanales; Solanaceae
Source: Rfam
GGGUCCAUAGCUCAGUGGUAGAGUAUUUGACUGCAGAUCAAGAGGUCACCGGUUUGAACCCGGUUGGGCCCU